Molecule: ribosomal RNA, 468 nt
Filed under: uncultured bacterium
Lineage: Bacteria
Description: partial 16S ribosomal RNA
Rfam family: Bacterial small subunit ribosomal RNA
Source: RNAcentral
GACGAACGCUGGCGGCGUGCUUAACACAUGCAAGUCGAACGGAAAGGCCUCGUUCGUGUGGUACUCUAGUGGCGAACGGGUGAGUAACACGUGAGUAUCCUGCCCUUUACUUUGUGGUAACUUCACAAGACUGUGGCUAUUACAGCGUAGGAGCUCCUGCGGCAUGGUGGGGGUGGUGGAGAUUCUCGGCGGUUGGGUGUGGACGCGCGGCUUAUCAGUGUGUUGGUGGGGUAGUGGCUUACCAAGGCUUUGACGGGUAGCCGGCCUGAGAGGGUGACCGGCCACAUUGGGACUGAGAUACGGCCCAGACUCCUACGGGAGGCAGCAGUGGGGAAUAUUGCACAAUGGGCGGAAGCCUGAUGCAGCAACGCCGCGUGCGGGAUGACGGCCUUCGGGUUGUAAACCGCUUUCGCCUGUGACGAAGCGUGAGUGACGGUAAUGGGUAAAGAAGCACCGGCUAACUACGUG